Dama dama (fallow deer) is the source of this 1827-nucleotide long non-coding RNA. RefSeq lists it as uncharacterized. The transcript is spliced from 3 exons. Lineage: Eukaryota; Metazoa; Chordata; Mammalia; Artiodactyla; Cervidae. The record is from RefSeq and is a predicted model, not a curated record.
AGUAGAGUUUGGUAGGGAGGCCUAACGAUGAUCCCUAGGCUGUGGUUCAUGAGUCUAGCUUGGGUGAGGAAGUGGGACAUCCUACCUGAAUUUCUAAGUCUUAAGUCUGUUGGGGUGAGGGAUCUUCAAAACUGAGGUGAUGCUACAGUUGAAUGAAAGUACUGAGAGGAGAGUGGUACUGUAGUCAGAUGAUAGUUCAGGAUUGGAAACAGCUGCAUGUUAACAGUUUGCGGUAUACCGAACAUUUGAGUAUACAUUAUAUAUAUAUUUUUAAUGUUUUUUACCUAUUUGUCUGUGGCCAGUCUUAGUUGCAAGAGGGGACAACGUGAUGAGAUGGAUGGUAUCACUGACUCAAUGGACAUGAGUUUGAGCAAACUCUGGGAGAUGGUGAAGAACAGGGAAGCCUGGUGUGCUGCAGUCCAUGGGGUAGCAACGACUUGGACACAACUGAGCAACUGAACAAGAAGUCUUGGAUGUGCAUGUGGGAUCUAGUUCCUUGACCAGGAAUGAAACUCGGGACCCCUGCAUUGAAAGUGUGAAGUCUUAAUCAGUGACAACCAAGGAAGUUCCUUGAGGGGCAUGGAUUCCUGAUCUGAACCAAGAAGCCACAGACCACGCUGCCGAAAUAUAGGAAAAACAAUGGUUAAAAAGAAGAGAAGGAGACGCAGACAUAGAAAAUGUGGACACAGCAGGGGAAGAAGCGGCAAGGAAAAACUGAGAAAGCAGCGGUGACGUAUAUACACUGUCACGUGUAAAACAUAUAAGCAGCAAGCUGCUCUAUGCCACAGGGAGCCAGCCUGGCACUGUAUGGUGACAGAGAGAGAUGGAAUGGUGGGGGGAGGGAGGCUCCAGAGAGAGAGGCUAUAUAUAUAACUGUGACUGAUUCACACUGAUGUACAGUGAGGCCACUACAACAUUGUAAAGAAAUUAUUCCUCUAAUAAUAAUAGUAAAAGACUUCUGAAAAAAAAACUUUAGUACUCUGACUUCUUAAGAUCUGGACAGAGUUCCACUUGCUUCCUUGGCUCACCACCUGGAUGUCACAGGCAAGCAUUGGAGAUUUUGACCCUAUUUGGCACUCCUGGAUGUUCUGAUUCUGUGUUUAUGAAUUCAAAUAUGUUCAUCAGAAUUAUAUCAAUAUGGAAGACUUUUCAACUAAAAGAUACAUUUUGGAAUGAACUUGACUAUGACCACUUAAUUUCUACAUUAACUUCCUAUAGAGUGCAUUUAAGGGAAAGGCUACCCACUCCAGUAUUCUGGCCUAGAGAAUUCCAUGGACCGUAUAGUCCAUGGGGUCACAGAGAAUCAGACAAGACUGAGCAACUUUCACUUUCAAACUUUAAAUUAUUAUUGUACUGGUAUUUCUUUGUUUUGAAUUUAAAUUCUUUUCUACAUUACAACAAAGAUUUACUAUUCAGUUUUAUUUUGCUUAUUUUAUCUAUACCAAAUGUUAUCUAUUAUAAUUUCAUCCAAGGUAAAUUUUCUUCUGUGGUCUCUUUUUUCUUUCCUGCUAUCAAGUCUAGUUUCCUGGGCUAAGAAGACUUAAAUGUCACUUUUUCAACCAAAACAAAGCUUAUUGGGUACAAUUCUGGCUUCAUCAAUUUAUUUUGCUAUUUCUAUCUGUAGUAUUCAAAAUCAAGUAGAAAAAAUGCUAGUAGUUAUAGUCAUCUCAUGGAGCAGAUAUAUAGGGCAGAUAUAUAAGAUUUGAGAUUAUAGUAGAGUUAGAAUGAAGAGGUCAAAACAUCUUGUAUUGCUCACAGCCAUCUCAAGCUCAGUUUGACUAACACUGAAUUCUUCAUCUUAUCUAAAUUCAUUUGAGGAAUCUAACU